This 391-nucleotide long non-coding RNA is filed under the name Homo sapiens (human). RNAcentral describes it as "non-protein coding lnc-APOL6-1:1". Lineage: Eukaryota; Metazoa; Chordata; Mammalia; Primates; Hominidae. The record is from RNAcentral.
UAAAAAGGCAAAUUGAUCUUGCCAUAAUUUGUCUUUAGUCAAAAUGGGAAACUGGAGAGAGAAAUACUAUGUUUCAAAAACUAUGGUACACUUGUUAUUAAAUUCUAGUCUCAUCAGUUGUUUUUAAGUUUGUUUCUGCAAUUUAGGCUAACCCUGCUUAUUCCUGUAAACCAACCAGUGAUCUCUGACUGCUGCUUAAAAGAAACAAGACAGAUGGUUAUCAUUUACUCUGAUGCUUUCCUGAAAGCACUUGCAAAUCGCUAUGACACAAAACUUCAAGAGAUUCAUAAAAAAAAGACUCAAGCACAGGUGUCUGAUAACUUUUAAAUCACACUGUUGAACCCAUUAAACUGGGGUUGUUCUUAGCCUUACAGCCCUGUGAAUGGGAGCU